GGAGCAACGCCGCGUGCAGGAAGACGGCUUUCGGGUUGUAAACUGCUUUUAUUGGGAAGAUUAUGACGGUACCAAAUGAAUAAGGACCGGCUAACUACGUGCCAGCAGCCGCGGUAAUACGUAGGGUCCAAGCGUUAUCCGGAAUUACUGGGCGUAAAGCGUACGUAGGCGGCGCGUUAAGUGAUAUGCGAAAUCCAGCGGCUCAACCGUUUGGACUGUAUAUCAUACUGACGUGCUAGAGGAUGGCAGAGGCAAGUGGAAUUGGUAGUGUAGCAGUGAAAAUGCGUAGAUAUUACCAGGAACACCAAUGGCGAAGGCAGCUUGCUGGGCCAUUUCUGACGCUGAGGUACGAAAGCGUGGGGAGCGAACAGGAUUAGAUACCCUGGUAGUCCACGCCGUAAACGAUGCAUACUAUUAGUCUGGAGUAUCGACCCUCUGGGCUGAGAAGCUAACGCGAUAAGUAUGCCGCCGUGGGGAGUACGAGCGCAAGACUU
This 494-nucleotide ribosomal RNA is filed under the name uncultured bacterium. Its description in RNAcentral is "bacterial SSU rRNA". It matches the Rfam family "Bacterial small subunit ribosomal RNA", at positions 388 to 896 of the family's 1533-position model. The record is from RNAcentral.